This 468-nucleotide ribosomal RNA is filed under the name uncultured bacterium. Its description in RNAcentral is "partial 16S ribosomal RNA". It matches the Rfam family "Bacterial small subunit ribosomal RNA", at positions 28 to 507 of the family's 1533-position model. The record is from RNAcentral.
GACGAACGCUGGCGGCGUGCUUAACACAUGCAAGUCGAACGGAAAGGCCCUGCUUUUGUGGGGUGCUCGAGUGGCGAACGGGUGAGUAACACGUGAGUAACCUGCCCUUGACUUUGGGAUAACUUCAGGAAACUGGGGCUAAUACCGGAUAGGAGCUCCUGCUGCAUGGUGGGGGUUGGAAAGUUUCGGCGGUUGGGGAUGGACUCGCGGCUUAUCAGCUUGUUGGUGGGGUAGUGGCUUACCAAGGCUUUGACGGGUAGCCGGCCUGAGAGGGUGACCGGCCACAUUGGGACUGAGAUACGGACCAGAAUGCUACGGGAGGCAGCAGUGGGGAAUAUUGCACAAUGGGCGGAAGCCUGAUGCAGCAACGCCGCGUGCGGGAUGACGGCCUUCGGGUUGUAAACCGCUUUCGCCUGUGACGAAGCGUGAGUGACGGUAAUGGGUAAAGAAGCACCGGCUAACUACGUG